AGAGUUUGAUCAUGGCUCAGAUUGACGCUGGGCAUCCUUACACAUGCAAGUCGANNGCAGCGGGGGCACCUGGCGGCGAGUGGCGAACGGGUGAGUAAUAUAUCGGAACGUGCCCUGGAGUGGGGGAUAACGCAGCGAAAGUUGCGCUAAUACCGCAUACGAUCUAAGGAUGAAAGCGGGGGAUUCGCAAGAACCUCGUGCUCCUGGAGCGGCCGAUAUCUGAUUAGCUAGUUGGUGGGGUAAAGGCCUACCAAGGCAUCGAUCAGUAGCUGGUCUGAGAGGACGACCAGCCACACUGGAACUGAGACACGGUCCAGACUCCUACGGGAGGCAGCAGUGGGGAAUUUUGGACAAUGGGCGAAAGCCUGAUCCAGCAAUGCCGCGUGAGUGAAGAAGGCCUUCGGGUUGUAAAGCUCUUUUGUCAGGGAAGAAACGGUGUGGGCUAAUAUCCCGCACUAAUGACGGUACCUGAAGAAUAAGCACCGGCUAACUACGUGCCAGCAGCCGCGGUAAUACGUAGGGUGCAAGCGUUAAUCGGAAUUACUGGGCGUAAAGCGUGCGCAGGCGGUUUUGUAAGUUUGUCGUGAAAGCCCCGGGCUCAACCUGGGAAUUGCGAUGAAGACUGCAAGGCUUGAAUCUGGCAGAGGGGGGUAGAAUUCCACGUAGCAGUGAAAUGCGUAGAGAUGUGGAGGAACACCGAUGGCGAAGGCAGCCCCCUGGGUCAAGAUUGACGCUCAUGCACGAAAGCGUGGGGAGCAAACAGGAUUAGAUACCCUAGUAGUCC
RNAcentral lists this ribosomal RNA (784 nucleotides) under uncultured bacterium. Its description in RNAcentral is "bacterial SSU rRNA". It matches the Rfam family "Bacterial small subunit ribosomal RNA", at positions 8 to 796 of the family's 1533-position model. The record is from RNAcentral.